UGCAAGUCGAGCGGAAACGAGUUAUCUGAACCUUCGGGGAACGAUAACGGCGUCGAGCGGCGGACGGGUGAGUAAUGCCUAGGAAAUUGCCUUGAUGUGGGGGAUAACCAUUGGAAACGAUGGCUAAUACCGCAUAAUGCCUACGGGCCAAAGAGGGGGACCUUCGGGCCUCUCGCGUCAAGAUAUGCCUAGGUGGGAUUAGCUAGUUGGUGAGGUAAUGGCUCACCAAGGCGACGAUCCCUAGCUGGUCUGAGAGGAUGAUCAGCCACACUGGAACUGAGACACGGUCCAGACUCCUACGGGAGGCAGCAGUGGGGAAUAUUGCACAAUGGGCGCAAGCCUGAUGCAGCCAUGCCGCGUGUAUGAAGAAGGCCUUCGGGUUGUAAAGUACUUUCAGCAGUGAGGAAGGGGGUGUCGUUAAUAGCGGCAUYUCUUGACGUUAGCUGCAGAAGAAGCACCGGCUAACUCCGUGCCAGCAGCCGCGGUAAUACGGAGGGUGCGAGCGUUAAUCGGAAUUACUGGGCGUAAAGCGCAUGCAGGUGGUUUGUUAAGUCAGAUGUGAAAGCCCGGGGCUCAACCUCGGAACUGCAUUUGAAACUGGCAAACUAGAGUACUGUAGAGGGGGGUAGAAUUUCAGGUGUAGCGGUGAAAUGCGUAGAGAUCUGAAGGAAUAC
This 674-nucleotide ribosomal RNA is filed under the name bacterium HB-SWA-1. Its description in RNAcentral is "bacterial SSU rRNA". It matches the Rfam family "Bacterial small subunit ribosomal RNA", at positions 56 to 709 of the family's 1533-position model. The record is from RNAcentral.